GACGAACGCUGGCGGCGUGCUUAACACAUGCAAGUCGAACGGAAAGGCCCUGGUUUUGUGGGGUGCUCGAGUGGCGAACGGGUGAGUAACACGUGAGUAACCUGCCCUUGACUUUGGGAUAACUUCAGGAAACUGGGGCUAAUACCGGAUAGGAGCUCCUGCUGCAUGGCGGGGGUUGGAAAGUUUCGGCGGUUGGGGAUGGACUCGCGGCUUAUCAGCUUGUUGGUGGGGUAGUGGCUUACCAAGGCUUUGACGGGUAGCCGGCCUGGGAGGGUGACCGGCCACAUUGGGACUGAGAUACGGCCCAGACUCCUACGGGAGGCAGCAGUGGGGAAUAUUGCACAAUGGGCGGAAGCCUGAUGCAGCAACGCCGCGUGCGGGAUGACGGCCUUCGGGUUGUAAACCGCUUUCGCCUGUGACGAAGCGUGAGUGACGGUAAUGGGUAAAGAAGCACCGGCUAACUACGUG
RNAcentral lists this ribosomal RNA (468 nucleotides) under uncultured bacterium. Its description in RNAcentral is "partial 16S ribosomal RNA". It matches the Rfam family "Bacterial small subunit ribosomal RNA", at positions 28 to 507 of the family's 1533-position model. The record is from RNAcentral.